GCUUUUUAUUCUCUAUGGUUUUACUUGGUGGUGCUACCUGUUAGGUGAUUUUAAUACUUGCUAAUCUGGGAGAUGGUAUGCGUAGGUUCGUCAUCAACCACCCAUGCCUUUCUAACUCCAUGAACUAAGCAUCUUUAUCCAAACUUCUAAAAGAAACAAAUGCUCAUCUACUGUAAACACUUGAUUACUUUGAAGGGCAAAAAAAAUCUUUUGCUAUAAUCACGAUGAAGCCACCUAGAGCAUUUCUUGCCAGCAUGUUUGAUCAGUUAAGCAAUACCUACAUGUGUUCUUGGUAAGAUUAGAAUAGACAAGUAUCACAUCAUAUAUGUUCUCAGUAAGUGAUGUACUCCUGAAUCCCCACAAAGAUUAAAAGUGACUUUUCCCUUAUCUGUCGUCCUUGCCAAACUAUAGUGUUUAUUAUAUGGCGACCUUGCUUUCAAGUUCUAUAUAUGAAAUUUGUCUUCAG
This 466-nucleotide small RNA is filed under the name Oryza sativa Japonica Group (Japanese rice). RNAcentral's name for it is "sRNA Os12g0434501". Lineage: Eukaryota; Viridiplantae; Streptophyta; Magnoliopsida; Poales; Poaceae. The record is from RNAcentral.